UACGUAGGGUGCAAGCGUUGUCCGGAAUUAUUGGGCGUAAAGAGCUCGUAGGCGGUCUGUCAUGUCGGAUGUGAAAAUCCAGGGCUUAACCCUGGACCUGCAUUCGAUACGGGCAGACUAGAGUUCGGUAGGGGAGACUGGAAUUCCUGGUGUAGCGGUGAAAUGCGCAGAUAUCAGGAGGAACACCGGUGGUGUAGACGGCUUACUGGACCACGACUGACACUGAGGCACGAAAGCGUGGGUAGCAAACAGG
This 253-nucleotide ribosomal RNA is filed under the name uncultured bacterium. RNAcentral's name for it is "partial 16S ribosomal RNA". It matches the Rfam family "Bacterial small subunit ribosomal RNA", at positions 524 to 776 of the family's 1533-position model. The record is from RNAcentral.